This 403-nucleotide ribosomal RNA is filed under the name uncultured bacterium. Its description in RNAcentral is "partial 16S ribosomal RNA". It matches the Rfam family "Bacterial small subunit ribosomal RNA", at positions 28 to 526 of the family's 1533-position model. The record is from RNAcentral.
GACGAACGCUGGCGGCGUGCCUAAUACAUGCAAGUCGAACGCAGUGGGGACGGGUGAGUAACACGUGGGUAACCUCCCAUCAGAGGGGAUAACACUUGGAAACAGGUGCUAAACCGAUACUGAUGGAUGGACCCGCGGUGCAUUAGCUAGUUGGUGAGGUAACUGCUCACCAAGGACACGACGCAUAGCCGACCGGAGAGGGUACCCGGCCAAACUGGGACUGAGCCACGGCCCAGACUCCUACGGGAGGAAGAAGUAGGGAAUCUUCGGCAAUGGCCGAAAGUCUACCAGGGAAACGCCGGGUGGGUGAAGAAGGUUUUCGGAUCGUAAAACUCUGGUGUUAGAGAAGCGGUAUCUAACCAGAAAGCCACGGCUAACUACGUGCCAGCAGCCGCGGUAAUAC